CGGUGUUCAACUGGCGUGCCCGCGGGACGUCCUGCCGGUGAGCUCAGCCCGCGAGGGCGGCUCAACUUGAAAUCCCAUCGCGGUGCUCUUCAUUGAGUGUCGAGGUGGGCCGGCACGAUUACUUUUGAACAAAUUAGAGUGCUUAAAGCAGGCUAAAAUUUUGCCUGAAUACUGUGUAUAUGGAAUAAUGGAAUAGGACCUCGGUUCUAUUUUGUUGGUUUUCGGAACCCCGAGGUAAUGAUUAAUAGGAACGGAUGGGGGCAUUCGUAUUGCGACGUUAGAGGUGAAAUUCUUGGAUCGUCGCAAGACGGACUAAAGCGAAAGCAUUUGCCAAAAACGCUUUCAUUGAUCAAGAACGAAAGUUAGAGGUUCGAAGGCGAUCAGAUACCGCCCUAGUUCUAACCAUAAACUAUGCCAGCUAGCGAUCCGCCGACGUCCCUCUGAUGACUCGGCGGGCAGCUUCCGGGAAACCAAAGCUUUUGGGUUCCGGGGGAAGUAUGGUUGCAAAGCUGAAACUUAAAGGAAUUGACGGAAGGGCACCACCAGGAGUGGAGCCUGCGGCUUAAUUUGACUCAACACGGGAAACCUCACCAGGCCCAGACACUGGAAGGAUUGACAGAUUGAGAGCUCUUUCUUGAUUCAGUGGGUGGUGGUGCAUGGCCGUUCUUAGUCGGUGGAGCGAUUUGUCAGGUUAAUUCCGAUAACGGACGAGACUCUGACCUGAUAACUAGACGCACUUGCGGCAUCUCAAAGGUCCGCCGGCGGCUGGCUUUGCGCCCGUCGUCGCGCACGAUUUUUACUGCCGGCGUACAAUAAAUUCUUCUUGGAGGGACAAGUGG
This 839-nucleotide ribosomal RNA is filed under the name uncultured eukaryote. RNAcentral's name for it is "SSU rRNA". It matches the Rfam family "Eukaryotic small subunit ribosomal RNA", at positions 635 to 1426 of the family's 1831-position model. The record is from RNAcentral.